This 401-nucleotide ribosomal RNA is filed under the name uncultured bacterium. RNAcentral's name for it is "partial 16S ribosomal RNA". It matches the Rfam family "Bacterial small subunit ribosomal RNA", at positions 355 to 749 of the family's 1533-position model. The record is from RNAcentral.
UGGGGAAUUUUGGACAAUGGGGGCAACCCUGAUCCAGCAAUGCCGCGUGUGUGAAGAAGGCCUUCGGGUUGUAAAGCACUUUUGUCCGGAAAGAAACGCCGUGGUUAAUACCCGUGGCGGAUGACGGUACCGGAAGAAUAAGCACCGGCUAACUACGUGCCAGCAGCCGCGGUAAUACGUAGGGUGCAAGCGUUAAUCGGAAUUACUGGGCGUAAAGCGUGCGCAGGCGGUCCGCUAAGACAGAUGUGAAAUCCCCGGGCUUAACCUGGGAACUGCAUUUGUGACUGGCGGGCUAGAGUAUGGCAGAGGGGGGUAGAAUUCCACGUGUAGCAGUGAAAUGCGUAGAGAUGUGGAGGAAUACCGAUGGCGAAGGCAGCCCCCUGGGCCAAUACUGACGCGUC